Molecule: ribosomal RNA, 496 nt
Filed under: uncultured bacterium
Lineage: Bacteria
Description: partial 16S ribosomal RNA
Rfam family: Bacterial small subunit ribosomal RNA
Source: RNAcentral
GAUGAACGCUAGCGGCAGGCCUAACACAUGCAAGUCGAGGGGUAGGGUUAGCUUGCUAACUUGAGACCGGCGCACGGGUGCGUAACGCGUAUGCAAUCUACCUUGUACAGGGGGAUAGCCCAGGGAAAUUUGGAUUAAUACCCCAUGGUGUUAUGAUGUGGCAUCACAUUAUAACUAAAGUUCCAACGGUACAAGAUGAGCAUGCGUCCCAUUAGCUAGUUGGUGUGGUAACGGCAUACCAAGGCAAUGAUGGGUAGGGGUCCUGAGAGGGAGAUCCCCCACACUGGUACUGAGACACGGACCAGACUCCUACGGGAGGCAGCAGUGAGGAAUAUUGGUCAAUGGGCGCAAGCCUGAACCAGCCAUGCCGCGUGCAGGAUGACGGUCCUAUGGAUUGUAAACUGCUUUUAUACGGGAAGAAACACUCCUACGUGUAGGAACUUGACGGUACCGUAAGAAUAAGGAUCGGCUAACUCCGUGCCAGCCACCGCGGUAA